Molecule: ribosomal RNA, 252 nt
Filed under: uncultured bacterium
Lineage: Bacteria
Description: partial 16S ribosomal RNA
Rfam family: Bacterial small subunit ribosomal RNA
Source: RNAcentral
UACGUAGGGUGCGAGCGUUGUCCGGAAUUACUGGGCGUAAAGAGCUCGUAGGUGGUUUGUCGCGUUGUUCGUGAAAUCUCACGGCUUAACUGUGAGCGUGCGGGCGAUACGGGCAGACUGGAGUACUGCAGGGGAGACUGGAAUUCCUGGUGUAGCGGUGGAAUGCGCAGAUAUCAGGAAGAACACCUAUGGCGAAGGCAGCUCUCUGGGACGGUACUGACGCUGAGACGCGAAAGCGUGGGAGCGAACAGG